RNAcentral lists this microRNA precursor (70 nucleotides) under Hypsibius dujardini. RNAcentral's name for it is "mir-33 microRNA precursor family". It matches the Rfam family "mir-33 microRNA precursor family". The record is from Rfam by way of RNAcentral. Lineage: Eukaryota; Metazoa; Tardigrada; Eutardigrada; Parachela; Hypsibiidae.
CUCUGGUGCAUUGUAGUUGCACUGCAUGGUGACACUGACCUCGUGCGGUGUGGGUGCACUGCAACCAGAG